Non-coding RNA from Oryctolagus cuniculus (rabbit), 241 nucleotides. NCBI's taxonomy places the organism in Eukaryota, Metazoa, Chordata, Mammalia, Lagomorpha, Leporidae. The record is from RefSeq and is a predicted model, not a curated record.
CUGGCCUUUGCACCGUGCAUAGAGGAUCUCGCAUACCAGCAGUGUGGCUGGUGCUUGGGAGAAUGGACGGGGUAGCAAAAACCUCAGGUCCUGGAAGUAGACUUGAGGGCAUCCAGGGAGAGUAACACCUGGACAAGAGCCAAAGUGAGGUUUUCUAAAGCUUAUGGAAAAUAAGUGACAGACUUGAAUUGGUGAAGUGAGAGCUACUAAUGGAAGAAAUUUGAGUGUCCUAGCUAAUGGG